This 1075-nucleotide ribosomal RNA is filed under the name Actinacidiphila cocklensis. RNAcentral's name for it is "partial 23S ribosomal RNA". It matches the Rfam family "Bacterial large subunit ribosomal RNA", at positions 591 to 1550 of the family's 2925-position model. The record is from RNAcentral. Lineage: Bacteria; Bacillati; Actinomycetota; Actinomycetes; Kitasatosporales; Streptomycetaceae.
UCGUGACUGCGUGCCUUUUGAAGAAUGAGCCUGCGAGUUUGCGGUGUGUUGCGAGGUUAACCCGUGUGGGGUAGCCGUAGCGAAAGCGAGUCCGAAUAGGGCGGUUGAGUAGCACGCUCAAGACCCGAAGCGGAGUGAUCUAGCCAUGGGCAGGUUGAAGCGGCUGUAAGAGGUCGUGGAGGACCGAACCCACCAGGGUUGAAAACCUGGGGGAUGACCUGUGGUUAGGGGUGAAAGGCCAAUCAAACUCCGUGAUAGCUGGUUCUCCCCGAAAUGCAUUUAGGUGCAGCGUCGUGUGUUUCUUGCCGGAGGUAGAGCACUGGAUAGGCGAUGGGCCCUGCCGGGUUACUGACCUUAGCCAAACUCCGAAUGCCGGUAAGUGAGAGCGCGGCAGUGAGACUGUGGGGGAUAAGCUCCAUGGUCGAGAGGGAAACAGCCCAGAGCAUCGACUAAGGCCCCUAAGCGUACGCUAAGUGGGAAAGGAUGUGGAGUCGCAGAGACAACCAGGAGGUUGGCUUAGAAGCAGCCACCCUUGAAAGAGUGCGUAAUAGCUCACUGGUCAAGUGAUUCCGCGCCGACAAUGUAGCGGGGCUCAAGCGUACCGCCGAAGUCGUGUCAUUGCAGCAUAUAGGGCUAACGCCUGUUGUGAUGGGUAGGGGAGCGUCGUGUGCCGGGUGAAGCCGCGCCGGAAGGCAGUGGUGGACGGUUCACGAGUGAGAAUGCAGGCAUGAGUAGCGAUACAAGAGUGGGAAACUCUUGCGCCGAUUGACUAAGGGUUCCUGGGUCAAGCUGAUCUGCCCAGGGUAAGUCGGGACCUAAGGCGAGGCCGACAGGCGUAGUCGAUGGACAACCGGUUGAUAUUCCGGUACCCGCUGUAAAGCGCCCAAUGCUGAAUCCUUUGAUGCUAAGGCCGUGAAGCCGCCUCUGAUCUCUUCGGAGUGAGGGGGAGUGGUGGAGCCGCUGACCCAAGGGGGUAGUAGGUAAGUGAUGGGGUGACGCAGGAAGGUAGUCCAGCCCGGGCGGUGGUUGUCCCGGGGUAAGGGUGUAGCCCGAGGAAUAGGCAAAUCCGUUCCUC